This 422-nucleotide ribosomal RNA is filed under the name uncultured bacterium. RNAcentral's name for it is "bacterial SSU rRNA". It matches the Rfam family "Bacterial small subunit ribosomal RNA", at positions 355 to 774 of the family's 1533-position model. The record is from RNAcentral.
UAAGGAAUAUUGGUCAAUGGACGCAAGUCUGAACCAGCCAUGCCGCGUGGAGGAUGAAGGUCCUCUGGAUUGUAAACUUCUUUUAUCUGGGACGAAACACUCCUUUUCUAAGGGGCUUGACGGUACCAGAUGAAUAAGCACCGGCUAACUCCGUGCCAGCAGCCGCGGUAAUACGGAGGGUGCAAGCGUUAUCCGGAUUCACUGGGUUUAAAGGGUGCGUAGGUGGGUAUGUAAGUCAGAGGUGAAAUCCCCGAGCUUAACUUGGGAACUGCCUUUGAUACUAUGUAUCUUGAAUAUCGUAGAGGUUAGCGGAAUAUGUUAUGUAGCGGUGAAAUGCUUAGAUAUGACAUAGAACACCAAUUGCGAAGGCAGCUAGCUAUGCGAUUAUUGACACUGAGGCACGAAAGCGUGGGUAGCAAACA